AACAAAGGGGAAAAAAAUGCUCCCCAUUUUUGUCAGAGCCCAGAUGAUUUCUCUUUUUCCGUUCAUCAUUUGGGGCUGAGGGGGACGUAACUCAGUUAAAGACAGAAACAUUAAACGCGCAGUAAAACCAUCACACGUGCAGGAUUGAUAGGGGUAUUGAUUAACGCCAUCAGUAAAGUAUUUACCUUAAUCAAUAGGAAAAGGUGAUUUAAAUGUUUAGGUGUCUACCGCGCUUGAGUCGGCCAAGGCUUCCUUAGGAGCAUGAUUUCAUGUGAUGCACGCCUCCCUUCGCCCGUGUGCGCCCCUUAGCAAAGUUAAUUGCCACGGCUGAAGCCCCCUCUCCACACCACCAUGGUUGCUUUUGAGUCCUGUUGCAGGUUGGGUUCUCCUGGAGGAGAUUCUGAGCUGGAGUUUUGGGUGCAAGAUGUUUGGUUAAGAAUCGGCGUCUGUGAGGGAAUGGGAGGAAAUGAGUGGGCAGAGGAAGAAGUUGAAGGGUGAGGCAGCCCCACAAAGACACGGUCAAGGGACUGGAGCUCUGGAGCCAGAGGUGCCCCUCAGUGGGCAUCAGGCCCUUGUACCCCUACCCCACCCAGUUGCCCGCCUCCCCAGGAAGGGCAUGACCUUGGGCGAGGGGUCUCUCUGCCGCUCAGGCAGACGCUGAAGGAGCUGAGAGCUGGAAGCUGCCUGCAGACCCCACUUCCCACAGCUGGGCAGCCAGGCCUCCCCGGAAGGGAGGUCUGGGAAGCAUAUUCCCCAGUCGGCCACAACCCCAGAGGGUAUCCAAACGCCAUCACAUGCUAACCCUGACUGCUGGGAGGCUUUGUUCAAAGGAGGCGGUCCAUCAGGGGCUGUUUGAAACCAAGGUUGACUAUUUCUCCUAAUGCACUCUGGACCCAUUGGGACUCUGCGGUGACGUGGUUGAGGUGUAGAAACUUCUAGUCAUUUAGGGAUAUUGGAAAAGACACUUGGCCAGGAGGUCGCCUGAAUUCUAGCCCCACGUUAGAACCUUCUUUCUGAGUGUCACUUUCUCAGGCCCCUUCCCUGUGCUGGGCUUCAGACUCCACAUCUUACAAAAAGGGUAUGUUGCCUUAGAAGCGUGUUGCCCGACUUUCCCAGCCACUGGAAUGCCCUGUGGAACAUUUAUUUAAAUUCAGGUUCCAGACCCCUACCUGAAAUCUCCGGGGAAGCAGCCUAGGAGUCUGGCUUUUUCAUCAGAGCCACAGAUGAUCCUUAUGACCUGCUGAUUGUGAAAGUGGACUAGGAGCCCCUCAGCCAGACCAGCUGUGUCGGGUUCACCAGGAAAAGUUCGCAAGGUGGAGAUCCUCCAGCCCCGUGCCGGAAGAUUUUGAUUCAAAUUCUGCAUUUAAAUAUAAACAGCAAUGAUGAUAAUCAAUAGAACAGAUCAAUUGCAUUCCUGGCCCUAAUUCUUCCCUUGUAACCCCGCCCUUCUCACGUGACUUUGAUUUCCCAAAACUGUAGAGUAUAUUUCCCUCCCCGCAAUGUGACACGUUUGGCCGAUAGAAGAGGUGGGUAGGAGAGACUGUGCAUCAGUUCCAGUCCUUGGCCUCCAGAGGCCUGGCCUAUUUCUACCUACUCAUUUGUGCUCCUGUCAUCGCCACGAGAAGUUCAUGCCCGGCCUGGUCUGUUGGUCCCAGGAGAAGGACAAGAGAUACACGUGGAGCAGAGCUGCCCAGCUACCGUGUGCCGGCCGAGCCCAGCCUUGAGCUGACCCCCAGCCGACCUGCAGGUGCAUGAGUGCACCAGCCUGGAUCAGCCAACCUCCAGCUGCCCCCAAGACUAACGGUCCUUCUAGUUGUGGCAUGUGGGACGCUGCCUCAGCGCGGUCUGAUGAGCAGUGCCAUGUCCGCGCCCAGGAUUCGAACUAACGAAACACUGGGCCGCCUGCUGCGGAGUGCGCGAACUUAACCACUCGGCCACAGGGCCAGCCCCUAGAGGGUAUUUUGGAUUUGGCAGAAUAGCCUUCGUCUGUGAAGAGUAGAACUUAAUUAUCAAAAGCUGAACCGGAGCGAGCAAUCCAUCACUGGGUGACACAUCCUUGCCUGUGUUCAUUUGAAAAACAUUUUUUUGUGGCUCUUGGAAGAGAGGGGAUAAAAAAGCUGUCAGAACCAAAAAAGAAAAAAAAGAAAAAAAAAGAAGAGGAAGGGAAAAGAAGGAAAAAAUCUCUCUUGGCAUUCCUCAUUCCACAAC
This 2208-nucleotide long non-coding RNA is filed under the name Equus asinus (donkey). RNAcentral's name for it is "lncRNA (ENSEASG00005024744.1)". Lineage: Eukaryota; Metazoa; Chordata; Mammalia; Perissodactyla; Equidae. The record is from RNAcentral.